CAGUGCGAAGGUAAUUAAAUUACCUUCGCACUGUUCAAACGUUAUUUGAAUCAACGAAGAACAGAAAAGAAAGAAAAAAAAUGUAUAGCGAAGGCGCACCUGUUUCUGGCGAUUGAAGAAGAUCGCGAUGCUGGUGACUGUUGCCCUCGUCCGGCUACUCUCCCUUCUCUCCCCGCUGUGACCUCUCUGUUUUCCUUGCUUUUGAUUUCUCGAUUCUCAGUGUGAAGAAGCUGAGAGGUAAUGGGUUCUUUGAGGUUUUUUACUGAUUUCGGGUUGCUUUUUCUGCAGGGAUUCUCCUAAUGGAAGAUAAUUCUCCUUUUUAGUCUGGUUUCUCGUUCUUGCUUUCAAUCUGUUUUUUUUUUUUGCUCUGUUUUCUCGUUGUUCUCUGUUUUUUUUUCUGGGUUGUAUUUUUGAUUGCUCUGUUUUUCUCUAGGUUUCCUCCUUCUCUCUGGUGUGCCUUCUCUCCUUUUAUAGAGACCCAGCCCCUAACCAGUCCUGCCUUUGCAGGACUGUUAUCUUCCACGAACGAGAUCGUGGGCGAGAGCCGUGAUCCACGAUUGGAUCAAAUCCGUUGCAGAUUUUCAGCCUGUUGAAUCGGGAUGGAGAAGACGAACACGGCUAUU
This 623-nucleotide long non-coding RNA is filed under the name Populus tremula. RNAcentral describes it as "long non-coding RNA (PTRE_LNC002446)". Lineage: Eukaryota; Viridiplantae; Streptophyta; Magnoliopsida; Malpighiales; Salicaceae. The record is from RNAcentral.